GCAAAUAUUAAUUAUUAGAAAGAAAAAAAUAAUAAUAAUCUCUUUAAAUUGCCCAUCUAACCUCGUAAUGAAAAAUGAUGUAUACAAAAACUAAAUUAUAUCUAUCAUAUAGAGCAAAAAUAGUAGAAAAAUUAUUGUCCUCUCAAUUCUAUAUUGCUGCCUAAAGAUUUCAAAAAGCGAGAUAAAAGAUUGCACAGAACUUUAAUAAAUAACAUUGCAAACUAAAAACUGUUACUUGCAAGGGAAAGAAAAAAACAAAAACAUGAAAAGUCCACAAGCCACCAUGAAAAUGAAGUUGCAAUCGCAAUGAUGUCUUUAAAAAGAGGCAAAAU
This 332-nucleotide unclassified non-coding RNA is filed under the name Hevea brasiliensis (rubber tree). Lineage: Eukaryota; Viridiplantae; Streptophyta; Magnoliopsida; Malpighiales; Euphorbiaceae. The record is from RNAcentral.